Molecule: non-coding RNA, 3524 nt
Organism: Danio rerio (zebrafish)
Lineage: Eukaryota; Metazoa; Chordata; Actinopteri; Cypriniformes; Danionidae
Source: RefSeq, a predicted model, not a curated record
GUCUCGAGCUUUUGUUCAUCUGUUUCCAACCGCACGCCGGAGAACAGGAGCCAUUGCGUCUCACCACCGCGCACUGUUCAGCAGCAUACACUCACCCGUUCCGACAUCCAAGCAGGACGUGGAUACUGAAGUAGUUUCACUCUUGGACUUUCGGUGUUUAAAUCUUCAGCAACUUACAAACUCAACAUGGAAAGCGAGAACAAAUACCUCCCGCAGCUGCUGGCGGAGCGCGACAGCCUGGACCCGUCCUUCACACACGCCAUGAAACUUAUAUCAGCAGAAAUUGAAAAGAUUGAGAAGGGGGACACUGAGAAAGAUACAGAAAGCUACCUGGACCUCUUUACUAUGAAAAACAUCAAACUGAAGGAAAGGAUUCUCAUACCAGUCAAACAGUACCCUAAGUUUAACUUUGUUGGGAAGAUCCUUGGACCGCAGGGGAACACCAUCAAGAGACUGCAGGAGGAGACGGGCGCUAAGAUCUCCGUGCUGGGAAAAGGAUCCAUGAGGGACAAGAAUAAGGAGGAAGAGUUGAGGAAAAAUGGAGAACCAAAGUAUGCACACUUGUCUAUGGAGCUUCAUGUGUUUAUUGAGGUGUUUGCUCCUGUUCCUGAUGCAUACAUGCGCAUGGCUCAUGCCAUGGAGGAGAUCAAAAAGUUUUUGUUUCCUGACAUGAUGGAUGACAUUUGCCAGGAGCAGUUCAUGGAGAUGAAGUUUCUGAAUGGCGGUCAGGAACACGGAGGUAGAGGCCGAGGAGGACCACCCAUCAGAGGCCGUGGAGGUCUUCCUCCUCCUGGAGCACCCAGGGGUCGUGGUAUGCCCCCACGUGGAGGUGGCCGUGGCGGACCCCCUCGUGGUGGAGCUGCAAGGGGAGCUCCUGCAGGCAGAGGUGGACCAUCAGCCCAGCUGCCCAGAGGAGCUGCUUCAAACCGUGCCCGUCCACCUGCCCCUGGCGCUCCGCGGAUGCCUCCACCCCCUCAGACCCAAGAGUCCUAUGAUGAAUAUUCUUAUGAUGAGAGCUACGCAGACACCGGCUAUGAAUCUUAUGACAGUUACUACAGUCAGCCACAAGCAGCAGAAACUGAAUACUAUGACUAUGGACAUGGAGAGACACAGGAGGGGUAUGAAAACUAUGCUCAAGAUAACUGGAAUGGGACACCACGUACUGCUGCUGCCGCCGGUGGAAAAGCUCCCACUCAGAGACAGACUAAACCUGGGUUCAGGGAACACCCCUAUGGACGAUACUAAGUCUGACUAGUGGAACGUCACCCAACGCGUCGCCAUGACAACUGUCUCCCAUGGCAGCUCACGCUUUAAGCUACCCGACAAAAGUUGUGAUGCCCGGCAAUUCCUGGAAUCAGAAAGAGAUUAAACAAGAAUGUCAGACCUCUCCUCAGGAAAAGACAGGUGUUUGUUGGCAGAGUAAGAGCAAUCUUACCCUUUUUAAGCACCUGCAGUCAUUAUGGAACAUGGACUGUCCUCGUGGAGAGCUUCUGAAUGGGCUGGAAUUGCAGAAGUCGAUGGUCCUGUCAGCUAAAGUACGAACCAACAGCUUCUUAAUGGGUUAAAGCAGAAGCCUUGAGCUCCUGGUGCUAUGGCUAGUCAUUACGCAAGGUCAUUUCUCUGUGCUGAAAAGUUUCUCUGUGCUGUUCUCCUCAUCAAGUGCUUUCUAAGCACACUUAACUUUAAAUGUUCAUCUUUUAAAUUGUCCUCUCCUGCUCAUAUUGGCCAAGAAAUCAUUUUAACAAGCUCGAAAAAUUCUGUCUGGGCUCUCCAGACAUCUACCUCAGACAAUACUCCAGUGCUUUUAUUCUGCAAGACAAGCAUGUCUUCCCCGUUUCCUCGCUCGGAGGAUCGUACAUGCUAAUUUAGAGCUGUCCAGCCCCUAUCUCCUAGCACAGACUUUGUCCUUUAAUUGCCAUGGUAAUUUUCGUCUUGCUCUUGUGUAGAUCUCUAUGAAUGGGUUUAUGCUGCCGGUGCUGGUAUGAAUCACAAUUGUAUCUUCUGUCAAAAGCAAAAAUCUCCAGGGCUUCACAGAAUAAUUGUUGAUCUAAAUCAAACUAACAUUUUUUUACCUUCUGGAUAAAGGUCCGUUCCGCUAAUUGAGAGCUUUCCAUAAAUUCUCCUUUGUUUUCUAAUCCUCGCUGUGCGGAGUCUGCUUUUGGCAUUGUGCAUGGCAUUUGUGAAUGUGUGUUGCUGUCUCUGUAUAUCGCUGUAGCUCCCUUUUUUUUCCUCAGCAUGUAGGAUUCAAGGCUGUCAUUUUGACCAAUUACCGCCAAUGACAGUGUGUCCGUCCCCCCAAGGAGCCGCUACUGGUAGCUGACUGGCUAACAGGACUAAUGUCUUAUUGCGUUAGAGACAAAUCAGUCCUCGGCAUGAAUUUUAAUAAGCAUCAAGCACAGCUCAAGUGCCAUCAAACAAUUGGAAGUGCGUGCGUGUGGGUUGGAGGUUGACCAAUGUGCAUACAGGCUUCAUGAUAAAUAAUAAUGAAGAUAUAUUUCCACUACACAUACAAGGCUGUUAAGGAAUUAGGGAAGUCUCAUGAAUGAAGCCUAUCGUAUGCGCCUAAUGGGUCUUUGCUUGAGUAGUCAUGUCAUCAGACAGCCAUUGCCUACAGCUGCUGGGGAAAUGCCUCUGGGGUAAUGUGCAAGGCAUGUGUGUGGUGGCCUGAAAGUGGGGAUUGUGGCUUGGCAGCUCUUUUCUCUAAACACGCAUUGUGCAUGCUGAAAACAGGAAGCGUGGCUUUAUGAAUGCAAAUGGAACGCUCUCACUGCUGUCUGUCUGUCUUCCUUCUUCUUGCAUGGCUAUUUUUCUAGUUUUGCACCUAACCAGUAUAUGCUCUCCAGGGAAUCAGGGGUUUGAGUGCACGGGGAGGAGUUGUGACUGUUUCUGGCUCACGUCCUAGAGAGCCAUGGCUGCUGGCCACCUCCUUCAGUGUGAAAUGCUGGUAAUAACUAAAGCCUCCUAAAGGUCUCUCUGUCAAUGUGAUGCGAUGAAAAUGAAUUGAAUCCAUCCAUGUGGAGUCUGGCUUGAGUAAUCCGAAGCCCUCCAGGACAAAGAGUUGGACACCUUCACUUUGGCUGUCGCUUGAGAAGCAUUCCAUUGCAUGAUUUCCAACAUCCACAUAAAAGCAGAAGCACCUAACACAAUGUCGGAAAACCAUGGGAAUUGUUUGGGAUUAGUGAUGAAAAACAAGUGCCAGGAGUCUGUAUUCUUUUUGUUUUCCUAAAGAGAUUGGUGAGCCUGUAUUUGCAAUGCAGCUAAACUGGAUUUGAGUUUAUUGAAGUGCCUGUCUUUCAGCAUAGCUGUUGGCCUUAUCUCAGUAGGAGCAAAUUAAAGCCUUUGGGGUCAGAGAAGCUUUUCAGUGACUUAGGGUAACAAACACUUUUUUUCCAUUUUAAAAGUCAUUCAAGCUUGUUUGAAAGUUGGCGCAUCCUACAGAUUAUUACAUACGACUACAAAGAGAAAAGUGAAUAACUUCAGAUGUUUUUACCUGCUAUGUCAAAAUAAAAAAAAAUUGAUUUCAA